This 429-nucleotide ribosomal RNA is filed under the name uncultured bacterium. RNAcentral's name for it is "bacterial SSU rRNA". It matches the Rfam family "Bacterial small subunit ribosomal RNA", at positions 355 to 776 of the family's 1533-position model. The record is from RNAcentral.
UGAGGAAUAUUGCGCAAUGGGCGAAAGCCUGACGCAGCGACGCCGCGUGGAGGAUGAAGGUCUUUGGAUUGUAAACUUCUGUUAAGUGGGAAGAAAAAGUUACUUCUAAUACAAGUAAAAAAUGACGGUACCACUAAAGAAAGCACCGGCUAACUUCGUGCCAGCAGCCGCGGUAAUACGAAGGGUGCAAGCGUUAUUCGGAUUAAUUGGGCGUAAAGGGUGCGUAGAUGGUAUAUUAAGUCCGUUGUUAAAUUUCCCAGCUUAACUGGGAGCAAGCGGUGGAUACUGGUGUACUAGAGGGUGGAAGAGAGAAGUGGAAUUCCCGGAGUAGCGGUAAAAUGCGUAGAUCUCGGGAGGAACACCAAUGGCGAAGGCAGCUUCUUGGUCCACAUCUGACAUUGAGGCACGAAAGCGUGGGGAGCAAACAGG